This 733-nucleotide ribosomal RNA is filed under the name uncultured bacterium. Its description in RNAcentral is "SSU rRNA". It matches the Rfam family "Bacterial small subunit ribosomal RNA", at positions 84 to 853 of the family's 1533-position model. The record is from RNAcentral.
CUUCGGGGUUAGUGGCGGACGGGUGAGUAACACGUGGGAACGUGCCUUUAGGUUCGGAAUAGCUCCUGGAAACGGGUGGUAAUGCCGAAUGUGCCCUUCGGGGGAAAGAUUUAUCGCCUUUAGAGCGGCCCGCGUCUGAUUAGCUAGUUGGUGAGGUAAUGGCUCACCAAGGCGACGAUCAGUAGCUGGUCUGAGAGGAUGACCAGCCACAUUGGGACUGAGACACGGCCCAAACUCCUACGGGAGGCAGCAGUGGGGAAUCUUGCGCAAUGGGCGAAAGCCUGACGCAGCCAUGCCGCGUGGAUGAUGAAGGUCUUAGGAUUGUAAAAUCCUUUCACCGGUGAAGAUAAUGACUGUAGCCGGAGAAGAAGCCCCGGCUAACUUCGUGCCAGCAGCCGCGGUAAUACGAAGGGGGCUAGCGUUGCUCGGAAUUACUGGGCGUAAAGGGAGCGUAGGCGGACAUUUAAGUCAGGGGUGAAAUCCCGGAGCUCAACUUCGGAACUGCCUUUGAUACUGGGUGUCUUGAGUGUGAGAGAGGUAUGUGGAACUCCGAGUGUAGAGGUGAAAUUCGUAGAUAUUCGGAAGAACACCAGUGGCGAAGGCGACAUACUGGCUCAUUACUGACGCUGAGGCUCGAAAGCGUGGGGAGCAAACAGGAUUAGAUACCCUGGUAGUCCACGCCGUAAACGAUGAUUGCUAGUUGUCGGGGAGCUUGCUCUUCGGUGACGCAGCU